GGGCCCGCACAAGCGGAGGAACAUGUGGUUUAAUUCGAUGAUACGCGAGGAACCUUACCCAGGCUCGAACGCCGAACGAAUACGGGGGAAACUUCGUAGCCAGCAAUGGCGGUCGGCGAGGUGCUGCAUGGUUGUCGUCAGCUCGUGCCGUGAGGUGUCGGCUUAAGUGCCAUAACGAGCGCAACCCCUAUCGGUAGUUGCCAGCGGGUUAUGCCGGGAACUCUACCGAGACUGCCAGCGCAAGCUGCGAGGAAGGCGGGGAUGACGUCAAAUCAGCACGGCCCUUACGUCUGGGGCGACACACGUGUUACAAUGGCCGGUACAGAGGGCAGCCACCCAGCGAUGGGGCGCGAAUCUCAAAAGCCGGUCGUAGUUCGGAUCGGAGGCUGCAACCCGCCUCCGUGAAGCUGGAUUCGCUAGUAAUCGCAUAUCAGCCAUGAUGCGGUGAAUACGUUCCCGGGCCUU
Molecule: ribosomal RNA, 465 nt
Filed under: uncultured bacterium
Lineage: Bacteria
Description: bacterial SSU rRNA
Rfam family: Bacterial small subunit ribosomal RNA
Source: RNAcentral